This 253-nucleotide ribosomal RNA is filed under the name uncultured bacterium. Its description in RNAcentral is "partial 16S ribosomal RNA". It matches the Rfam family "Bacterial small subunit ribosomal RNA", at positions 524 to 776 of the family's 1533-position model. The record is from RNAcentral.
UACGGAGGGUGCAAGCGUUAUCCGGAAUUACUGGGUUUAAAGGGUGCGUAGGCGGCUUAGUAAGUCAGGGGUGAAAGGUCACGGCUCAACCGUGGAAUGGCCUUUGAUACUGCUGAGCUUGAAUCAGGAUGAGGUUGGCAGAAUGUGGCAUGUAGCGGUGAAAUGCAUAGAUAUGCCAUAGAACACCGAUUGCGAAGGCAGCUGGCUAGACCUUGAUUGACGAUGAGGCACGAAAGCGUGGGGAGCGAACAGG